GUCCCGCUGGUGCGCGGCGCACGCCUGCAAUUAAUUACCCAUUCAUCGAGCCACAUAUGCAUGCGCAGGAGGCCUCCGUUCGACUCGGAGGCGGGACA
This is a non-coding RNA of Mycena rosella, 98 nucleotides long. NCBI's taxonomy places the organism in Eukaryota, Fungi, Basidiomycota, Agaricomycetes, Agaricales, Mycenaceae. The record is from the annotation of a GenBank genome assembly.